Long non-coding RNA from Xenopus laevis (African clawed frog), 318 nucleotides. RefSeq lists it as uncharacterized. The record is from RefSeq and is a predicted model, not a curated record. NCBI's taxonomy places the organism in Eukaryota, Metazoa, Chordata, Amphibia, Anura, Pipidae. The transcript is spliced from 3 exons.
UCGCUGUAGUUGCCCUGCUGCUUAGAAUCCUGACUGUAUUACACUAUAUGUGUCCCUCCAUACUCACCACUAUACGUCUUCCUGCUGCUCAUCAUGGCUGCACUGCUGCACUGGCUGCUUCUCUGCACAGGCUCUACUGAGGAUAUUAACACAUCACUUGGACUUACUAUGGCUGUUCUGGAGGACAACUCGUCCCAGUUACUGGUGUGCGGCCCAACUCUACAGAAAACUUAUGGGAAGAGCAUCUAUGUACUUGGACGAUCAGCUAGACAGUGACUUGAGACAACAGAAAAUACUUCCUGCCUCCCUACCAGGUAC